CGCUGGCGGCGUGCCUAAUACAUGCAAGUCGAACGGUCUUUCUAUGGAAGCUUGCUCCACUGAGAAGAUAGUGGCGAACGGGUGAGUAACACGUGGGUAACCCUGCCCAUAAGAGGGGGGAUAACAUCCGGAAACGGGUGCUAAUACCGCAUAGUUUUCUUGAUCGCAUGAUCGGGAAAGGAAAGACGGCCUUUGUGCUGUCGCCUAUGGAUGGACCCGCGGCGUAUUAGUUAGUUGGUGAGGUAACGGCUCACCAAGACGAUGAUACGUAGCCGACCUGAGAGGGUGAUCGGCCACAUUGGGACUGAGACACGGCCCAAACUCCUACGGGAGGCAGCAGUAGGGAAUCUUCCGCAAUGGACGAAAGUCUGACGGAGCAACGCCGCGUGAGUGAAGGUAAAGGUUUUCGGAUCGUAAAACUCUGUUGUCAGAGAAGGACAAGUUGGAGAGUAACUGCUCCAGCCUUGACGGUAUCUGACCAGAAAGCCACGGCUAACUACGUGCCAGCAGCGGC
This 514-nucleotide ribosomal RNA is filed under the name uncultured bacterium. RNAcentral describes it as "bacterial SSU rRNA". It matches the Rfam family "Bacterial small subunit ribosomal RNA", at positions 34 to 518 of the family's 1533-position model. The record is from RNAcentral.